AUACGUAGGGAGCGAGCGUUGUCCGGAUUUACUGGGUGUAAAGGGUGCGUAGGCGGCUCUGUAAGUCGGGCGUGAAAGGUGUGGGCUUAACUCACAAACUGCGUUCGAAACUGUGGAGCUUGAGUGAAGCAGAGGCAGGCGGAAUUCCCGGUGUAGCGGUGAAAUGCGUAGAGAUCGGGAGGAACACCAGUGGCGAAGGCGGCCUGCUGGGCUUUAACUGACGCUGAGGCGCGAAAGCAUGGGUAGCAAACAGGAUUAGAUACCCUGGUAGUCCAUGCCGUAAACGAUGAUUACUAGGUGUGGGGGGUCUGACCCCCUCCGUGCCGGAGUUAACACAAUAAGUAAUCCACCUGGGGAGUACGGCCGCAAGGUUGAA
RNAcentral lists this ribosomal RNA (376 nucleotides) under uncultured bacterium. Its description in RNAcentral is "bacterial SSU rRNA". It matches the Rfam family "Bacterial small subunit ribosomal RNA", at positions 523 to 898 of the family's 1533-position model. The record is from RNAcentral.